GGCCGGUUGGCCCAAUGGCAAGGCGUCUGACUACGACUCUCUCGAUCUGAGACCGUUGAUCGUGUAAUCAGGAGAUUCUGGGUUCGACCCCCAGGCUGGUCA
This 102-nucleotide transfer RNA is filed under the name Colletotrichum cereale. RNAcentral's name for it is "tRNA-Arg". It matches the Rfam family "tRNA". Rfam says of the family: Transfer RNA (tRNA) molecules are approximately 80 nucleotides in length. Their secondary structure includes four short double-helical elements and three loops (D, anti-codon, and T loops). The record is from RNAcentral. Lineage: Eukaryota; Fungi; Ascomycota; Sordariomycetes; Glomerellales; Glomerellaceae.